RNAcentral lists this ribosomal RNA (253 nucleotides) under uncultured bacterium. RNAcentral describes it as "partial 16S ribosomal RNA". It matches the Rfam family "Bacterial small subunit ribosomal RNA", at positions 524 to 776 of the family's 1533-position model. The record is from RNAcentral.
UACGUAGGGUGCAAGCGUUAAUCGGAAUUACUGGGCGUAAAGCGUGCGCAGGCGGUGAUGUAAGUCAGAUGUGAAAUCCCCGGGCUCAACCUGGGAACUGCAUUUGUGACUGCAUCGCUGGAGUGCGGCAGAGGGGGGUGGAAUUCCGCGUGUAGCAGUGAAAUGCGUAGAUAUGCGGAGGAACACCGAUGGCGAAGGCAAUCCCCUGGGCCUGCACUGACGCUCAUGCACGAAAGCGUGGGGAGCAAACAGG